AUGAAUGCUGGCGGCGUGGAUAAGGCAUGCAAGUCGAGCGGCCCGCAAGGGCAGCGGCAGACGAAGUAGUAAUACGCAGGUACGUACCAAAGAGUCUGGCACAGCUCGUCGAAAGACGGGGUAAUUCCAGAUGGUCUCGUAAGAGUAAAGGAGCAAUCCGCUCUUUGAACGGCCUGCGCAGUAUCAGCUAGUUGGUAAGGUAACGGCUUACCAAGGCUAUGACACUUAGGGGAGCUGAGAGGCUGACCCCCACUGAUAGCACUGAGACACGGGCUAUACACCUACGGGUGGCUGCAGUCGAGAAUCUUCCACAAUGGACGAAAGUCUGAUGGAGCGACGCCGCGUGGUUGAUGAAGUCCUUCGGGACGUAAAAACCUUUUAUGGAGGAGGAAGUAAUUGACGUUACUCCAUGAAUAAGGGGCUCCUAACUCUGU
Molecule: ribosomal RNA, 434 nt
Filed under: uncultured bacterium
Lineage: Bacteria
Description: bacterial SSU rRNA
Rfam family: Bacterial small subunit ribosomal RNA
Source: RNAcentral